RNAcentral lists this ribosomal RNA (460 nucleotides) under uncultured bacterium. Its description in RNAcentral is "bacterial SSU rRNA". It matches the Rfam family "Bacterial small subunit ribosomal RNA", at positions 1 to 507 of the family's 1533-position model. The record is from RNAcentral.
GUCACGAGUUUGAUCAGUGGCUCAGAAUGAACGCUGGCGGCAGGCCUAACACAUGCAAGUCGAACGGAUCCUUCGGGAUUAGUGGCGGACGGGUGAGUAACGCGGUGGGAACGUACCCCUUUCUUCGGAAUAGCCUCGGGAAACUGGGAGUAAUACCGGAUAAGCCCUAUUGGGGAAAGAUUUAUCGGGAAGGGAUCGGCCCGCGUUGGAUUAGGUAGUUGGUGGGGUAAUGGCCUACCAAGCCGACGAUCCAUAGCUGGUUUGAGAGGAUGAUCAGCCACACUGGGACUGAGACACGGCCCAGACUCCUACGGGAGGCAGCAGUGGGGGAAUCUUAGACAAUGGGGGAAACCCUGAUCUAGCCAUGCCGCGUGAUCGAUGAAGGCCUUAGGGUUGUAAAGAUCUUUCAGUGGGGAAGAUAAUGACGGUACCCACAGAAGAAGCCCCGGCUAACUCCGUG